Molecule: ribosomal RNA, 446 nt
Filed under: uncultured bacterium
Lineage: Bacteria
Description: partial 16S ribosomal RNA
Rfam family: Bacterial small subunit ribosomal RNA
Source: RNAcentral
CCUACGGGAGGCAGCAGUAGGGAAUUUUCGGCAAUGGGGGGAACCCUGACCGAGCAACGCCGCGUGAACGAAGAAGUUAUUCGUAAUGUAAAGUUCUUUUAACAGGGAAGUAAGAGAAAUUUGACGGUACCUGAAGAAUAAGCUCCGGCUAACUACGUGCCAUCAGCCGCGGUAAUACGUAGGGAGCGAGCGUUAUCCGGAAUUAUUGGGCGUAAAGGGUGCGUAGAUGGCAUAGUAAGUCUUUUGUAAAAAUGCUGGGCUCAACCCAGUAGGGCAAAAGAUACUGCAAAGCUAGAGUAUGACAGAGGCAGGUGGAACUACAUGUGUAGCGGUGAAAUGCGUAGAUAUAUGUAAGAACACCAGUGGCGAAGGCGGCUUGCUGGGUCGAUACUGACAUUGAGGCACGAAAGCGUGGGGAGCAAACAGGAUUAGAUACCCGGGUAGUC